Molecule: ribosomal RNA, 564 nt
Filed under: uncultured Glomeromycotina
Lineage: Eukaryota; Fungi; Glomeromycota
Description: SSU rRNA
Rfam family: Eukaryotic small subunit ribosomal RNA
Source: RNAcentral
UUGGAGGGCAAGUCUGGUGCCAGCAGCCGCGGUAAUUCCAGCUCCAAUAGCGUAUAUUAAAGUUGUUGCAGUUAAAAAGCUCGUAGUUGAAUUUCGGGAUCAGUAUGUUGGUCGUGCUUCGGUACGUACUGUCAUUACUGGUUUCUACCUUCUGAAGAACCUUGGUGUCAUUAAUUUGGUGUCUUGGGGAAUCAGGACUGUUACUUUGAAAAAAUUAGAGUGUUUAAAGCAAGCAUACGCUUGAAUACAUUAGCAUGGAAUAAUGAAAUAGGACGUUUGAUUCUAUUUUGUUGGUUUCUAGGAUCGACGUAAUGAUUAAUAGGGAUAGUUGGGGGCAUUAGUAUUCAAUUGUCAGAGGUGAAAUUCUUGGAUUUAUUUAAGACUAACUACUGCGAAAGCAUUUGCCAAGGAUGUUUUCAUUAAUCAAGAACGAAAGUUAGGGGAUCGAAGACGAUCAGAUACCGUCGUAGUCUUAACCAUAAACUAUGCCGACUAGGGAUCGGAUGAUGUUAAUUUUUUAAUGACUCAUUCGGCGCCUUACGGGAAACCAAAGUGUUUGGGUUC